Molecule: ribosomal RNA, 254 nt
Filed under: uncultured bacterium
Lineage: Bacteria
Description: partial 16S ribosomal RNA
Rfam family: Bacterial small subunit ribosomal RNA
Source: RNAcentral
UACGUAGGGUGCAAGCGUUUGUCCGGAAUUAUUGGGCGUAAAGAGCUCGUAGGCGGUUUGUCGCGUCUGCCGUGAAAGUCCGGGGCUCAACCCCGGGUCUGCAGUGGAUACGGGCAGGCUAGAGGUAGGUAGGGGAGAAUGGAAUUCCCGGUGUAGCGGUGAAAUGCGCAGAUAUCGGGAGGAACACCGGUGGCGAAGGCGGUUCUCUGGGCCUUACCUGACGCUGAGGAGCGAAAGCGUGGGGAGCGAACAGG